This 330-nucleotide long non-coding RNA is filed under the name Schistocerca americana (American grasshopper). Its description in RNAcentral is "uncharacterized LOC124605403". Lineage: Eukaryota; Metazoa; Arthropoda; Insecta; Orthoptera; Acrididae. The record is from RNAcentral.
GCCAGUGCUGCUGCCUCCGCACAGCGAGCUGCCACUGUCCGCCUAGCCUCCGCUGUAUAGAGCCUGUGCAGCUGUCGCUCCGUGUAGUGACGUCACGCAGGUGACGUCGGCGUGACAGGGGCGAGCUGCGCGCACCUGUGGAGCGGCGCUGACGGCCGCAGUGGCUCCUGGACUCUCACCGGACCCUCAUCACACUGACAUGGACGCCGACACCAGCGCCGACACCGGGUGCGACGCGCCGAUGCUGAACGGCGGCGGCGGGCGGCUGGAGCUGGUGGCGGCGGCGCACAAGGAGCCGGCGGAGGCGCUGCUGGGCCCGGUGCCGCCCCC